GUAAAUUUGUAGAUGCAGUAUUAAAUGAGUGGCAGAAGACAGUGAUGGAUUUGCCUGCUGGAUUUCGUCAGGCUUAUGAAAUGGGUUUAGUUAGCUCGGCGCAAAUGGUAAAAUUUUUAUCAAUCAAUGCCAGGCCAACUGCAACUCGGUUCAUUUCACGAACACUUCCUCAAGGAAUUUCACGGGCAUUUAUUGGCAGGAUGUUAGCAGAUCCUGCCUUUCUCUAUAGGCUUCUUUUGGAGCAGGCUGCUACAAUUGGCUGUUCA
RNAcentral lists this unclassified non-coding RNA (266 nucleotides) under Hevea brasiliensis (rubber tree). Lineage: Eukaryota; Viridiplantae; Streptophyta; Magnoliopsida; Malpighiales; Euphorbiaceae. The record is from RNAcentral.